RNAcentral lists this ribosomal RNA (346 nucleotides) under uncultured bacterium. Its description in RNAcentral is "bacterial SSU rRNA". It matches the Rfam family "Bacterial small subunit ribosomal RNA", at positions 141 to 507 of the family's 1533-position model. The record is from RNAcentral.
AAUUAACGUAGACGAAAGUUACGCUAAUACCGCAUACGUCCUGAGGGAGAAGCGGGGGACCGUAAGGCCUCGCGCGAUUGGAGCGGCCGAUGUCGGAUUAGCUAGUUGGUAGGGUAAAGGCCUACCAAGGCGACGAUCCGUAGCGGGUCUGAGAGGAUGAUCCGCCACACUGGGACUGAGACACGGCCCAGACUCCUACGGGAGGCAGCAGUGGGGAAUUUUGGACAAUGGGCGAAAGCCUGAUCCAGCCAUGCCGCGUGAGUGAUGAAGGCCCUAGGGUUGUAAAGCUCUUUUACCCGGGAUGAUAAUGACAGUACCGGGAGAAUAAGCUCCGGCUAACUCCGUG